AGCUCCAAUAGCGUAUAUUAAAGUUGCUGCAGUUAAAAAGCUCGUAGUUGGAUUUCUGGUUUGGUGCGCCUAGCCCGCCACGGUUUCGUGUGUGAGUGUUGGGACGUUCCUGCCAUCCUUCUAGUUCCUUGUCUUGCCCCUCACGGGGUGGAGGCAGUGGGCUAGAUCUUUUACUUUGAAAAAAUUAGAGUGUUUCAAGCAGGCAUUUGUUGCUAUGAAUACAUUAGCAUGGAAUAAUCAUGUAGGACUUCGGUCUUAUUUUGUUGGUGUUUCUAAGGCUGAAGUAAUGAUUGAUAGGGAUAGUUGGGGGUGCUAGUAUUCAGUGGCCAGAGGUGAAAUUCUCGGAUUCACUGAAGACUAACUUAUGCGAAAGCAUUCACCAAGGAUGUCUUCU
This 394-nucleotide ribosomal RNA is filed under the name uncultured eukaryote. RNAcentral's name for it is "SSU rRNA". It matches the Rfam family "Eukaryotic small subunit ribosomal RNA", at positions 587 to 972 of the family's 1831-position model. The record is from RNAcentral.